This 675-nucleotide long non-coding RNA is filed under the name Struthio camelus australis. Its description in RNAcentral is "lncRNA (ENSSCUG00000003180.1)". Lineage: Eukaryota; Metazoa; Chordata; Aves; Struthioniformes; Struthionidae. The record is from RNAcentral.
GCAUUUGCAGGUACAGAAGGCUUCAUCCUAUACAUGAGAUUUGCAAAAUUACAGUUGCGUUAGUGCAACAGGCCUUUUACAUCCACCGGCUGAAAGUGACGCGUAUCUGGUUGUUAUUUGUGUUGUAUCACUAAGGCAAAAGUUUGAAGCGUGCAUCUCAACCGUUCCCGAUUACUACCCACCUGAAUAAGACAGCUGUGCAAUUUAUUCAUACGAAUAAUUUACGUAAGAGAAGCCAGACUGCAGCAGUACAAUACAUGAUGUAUACAGAUGCAGAUCUUUAGGAAGGCUGAGCACCAGCUUCCCCCUUGGAACGCUUGGGCAGGACUUCGUUGAGUUUAGAACUAGUGAAGAACUGGACGCGAUCUUCCUUCCUUUCCCAAUUCGUUUUGUACCAAAGCUGUUAAAGUCCAGAGGAACAGGGACCUUAAUUAACCAUACAUCCACCAAUUCACCACCAACUCGGAUCGCAUGUUGCUUUCCAUUCAGCCCACUGGGAAAAAGUGUAUUUUGCAGCCAGAUGUCCAGAAAUCAGGUCUUCCGGGUCAAAAAGAAGAUUACAAAGAUUUCCCGAGGAUAAAACAGCUAAAUUGUCAUCGGUCUCUAAGGUGGUUAGAUCUGCAAUCUGGUGUUUCUGUCUUUGCAUUACUUUCCCUCUGAGAGUGCCUCUAAGAC